UACGUAGGGUGCAAGCGUUAAUCGGAAUUACUGGGCGUAAAGCGUGCGCAGGCGGUUAUGCAAGACAGAUGUGAAAUCCCCGGGCUCAACCUGGGAACUGCAUUUGUGACUGCAUGGCUAGGGUACGGUAGAGGGGGAUGGAAUUCCGCGUGUAGCAGUGAAAUGCGUAGAUAUGCGGAGGAACACCGAUGGCGAAGGCAAUCCCCUGGACCUGUACUGACGCUCAUGCACGAAAGCGUGGGGAGCAAACAGG
Molecule: ribosomal RNA, 253 nt
Filed under: uncultured bacterium
Lineage: Bacteria
Description: partial 16S ribosomal RNA
Rfam family: Bacterial small subunit ribosomal RNA
Source: RNAcentral